CAUGCGGGCGACAUGACGUUGAUCAGCGCACAGCCUGUCACCGGGCACUGCCGUAGCCGUAAAUCAGCAACGGAAAUCGCACUGAUGCAGACGGCCAAUAACAUUACGUUGCGUGUCCAG
This 120-nucleotide ribosomal RNA is filed under the name uncultured eukaryote. RNAcentral describes it as "partial 18S ribosomal RNA". The record is from RNAcentral.